This 465-nucleotide ribosomal RNA is filed under the name uncultured bacterium. RNAcentral's name for it is "bacterial SSU rRNA". It matches the Rfam family "Bacterial small subunit ribosomal RNA", at positions 32 to 507 of the family's 1533-position model. The record is from RNAcentral.
AAUCAACGCUGGCGGCGUGCCUCAGACAUGCAAGUCGAACGAUUAAAGCUCUCUUCGGAGAGUGUAUAGAGUGGCGCACGGGUGAGUAACACGUAAGUAAUCUACCCUCGAGUGGGGAAUAACAACCGGAAACGGUUGCUAAUACCGCAUAAUGCAGCGGCACCGCAAGGUGACAGUUGUUAAAGAUUUAUCGCUUGAGGAGGAGCUUGCGGCAGAUUAGCUAGUUGGUAGGGUGACGGCUUACCAAGGCUACGAUCUGUAACCGGUCUAAGAGGACGGUCGGUCACACUGACACUGAAUAACGGGUCAGACUCCUACGGGAGGCAGCAGUCGGGAAUUUUGGGCAAUGGGCGAAAGCCUGACCCAGCAACGCCGCGUGAAGGAUGAAGUAUUUCGGUAUGUAAACUUCGAAAGAAUAGGAAGAAUUAAUGACGGUACUAUUUAUAAGGUCCGGCUAACUACGUG